GACGAACGCUGGCGGCGUGCUUAACACAUGCAAGUCGAGCGAUGAAACUACUUCGGUAGUGAAUUAGCGGCGAACGGGUGAGGAACACGUGAGGAAUCUGCCUUCAACACUGGGAUAACUCCGGGAAACCGGGGCUAAUACCGGAUAUGAGCUCUGAUCGCAUGGUCGGGGCUGUAAAGUUUUUCGGUUGAAGAUGACCUCGCGGCCUAUCAGCUUGUUGGUGAGGUAAUGGCUCACCAAGGCGACGACGGGUAGCCGGCCUGAGAGGGCGACCGGCCACACUGGGACUGAGACACGGCCCAGACUCCUACGGGAGGCAGCAGUGGGGAAUAUUGGGCAAUGGAGGAAACUCUGACCCAGCGACGCCGCGUGCGGGAUGAAGGCCUUCGGGUUGUAAACCGCUUUCAGUAGGGAAGAAGCGAAAGUGACGGUACCUACAGAAGAAGCACCGGCUAACUAUGUGCCAGCAGCCGCGGUAAUACAUAGGGUGCAAGCGUUGUCCGGAAUUAUUGGGCGUAAAGAGCUCGUAGGUGGUUUGAUACGUCGGGUGUGAAAUUCAGGGGCUCAACCCCUGACCUGCAUUCGAUACGGUCAAGCUAGAGUUUGGUAGGGGAGACUGGAAUUCCUGGUGUAGCGGUGGAAUGCGCAGAUAUCAGGAGGAACACCGAUGGCGAAGGCAGGUCUCUGGGCCAAUACUGACACUGAGGAGCGAAAGCGUGGGGAGCGAACAGGAUUAGAUACCCUGGUAGUCCACGCCGUAAACGGUGGGCGCUAGUUGUGCGAACCUUCCACGGUUUGUGCGACGCAGCUAACGCAUUCAGCGCCCCGCCUGGGGAGUA
This 839-nucleotide ribosomal RNA is filed under the name uncultured Actinomycetales bacterium. RNAcentral describes it as "bacterial SSU rRNA". It matches the Rfam family "Bacterial small subunit ribosomal RNA", at positions 28 to 882 of the family's 1533-position model. Lineage: Bacteria; Bacillati; Actinomycetota; Actinomycetes; Actinomycetales. The record is from RNAcentral.